ACGAACCGUACAAACGUUAUUCGGAAUUAUUGGGCUUAAAGGGUGCGUAGGCGGCGCUGUAAGUCGGGUGUGAAAGCCCACGGCUCAACCGUGGAAUUGCGCCCGAUACUGCAGUGCUUGAGGGAGACAGGGGUGAGUGGAACUGAUGGUGGAGCGGUGAAAUGCGUUGAUAUCAUCAGGAACACCGGUGGCGAAAGCGGCUCACUGGGUCUCUUCUGACGCUGAGGCACGAAAGCUAGGGUAGCGAACGGG
This 252-nucleotide ribosomal RNA is filed under the name uncultured bacterium. Its description in RNAcentral is "partial 16S ribosomal RNA". It matches the Rfam family "Bacterial small subunit ribosomal RNA", at positions 525 to 776 of the family's 1533-position model. The record is from RNAcentral.